Long non-coding RNA from Hibiscus syriacus, 712 nucleotides. RefSeq lists it as uncharacterized. The record is from RefSeq and is a predicted model, not a curated record. NCBI's taxonomy places the organism in Eukaryota, Viridiplantae, Streptophyta, Magnoliopsida, Malvales, Malvaceae. The transcript is spliced from 6 exons.
UAAAUUUGCAUCUACAUGAUCUUACUGAAAUUAAUUUUUUGUUGUCCAACUACUGAAGUUAAUAAGUUGAACAAAUAUUUGUAGGCAAUUGGUGAAAAUUAUGGUCUUAGGAUUGAAAGCUUUUCUUCACUGGUCAAUGGAAAAGCCAUAUGGUGUGUGCUUGAUUAUUACUUCCGCAAAGAACUUUCUUGUUCGAACAAGAAUUCUCAUGAAACGAGAGGUGAUGAAUCAAUCAUGUCUGCUUCUUAUUACACAGAUGUAGUUGUCAAUUUUGUAUUGUCACAGAAACUGACAGCAUUACUUGGAAACUUUCCAGAGGUUCUGCAAAUAAGUGACUUACUUGAGCAUAAAUGUGGAUCAGUUGAAUUUCCAUAAACUAUUGGGUUGUAAUUGUCAAAACCUAGAGAGGAGGCAUUCACUAACUCAAAGGCAGUUGGCAAGUUCUGAAGUCAUUGUGCAAAAGAAAGAAAGAGACUUAGAUAUCACUGAAGGUGCUUCUAAAAAGUUCAAGGUCAUUCUGGCUUGGUGGCAAGAUAUGACAGAACAAAACUACAAUAGUGUUGUAAAACCUGCUGUUUCUACUUCAUCUUUCUUCCCAACACAGAAGAUAAGCACUGACAUUUCCAGAGGUGGAAGGUCGUUAUAUGUUUCAAAGUGAAUCAUUGAAGCGUGCAAGGAGUCUUCUUGGUUAACCGGAGCAAUGAAGACUAAA